Long non-coding RNA from Nyctereutes procyonoides (raccoon dog), 1175 nucleotides. RefSeq lists it as uncharacterized. The transcript is spliced from 3 exons. The record is from RefSeq and is a predicted model, not a curated record. NCBI's taxonomy places the organism in Eukaryota, Metazoa, Chordata, Mammalia, Carnivora, Canidae.
CCGGGGAAGCAAUGGCUGCUUCCGACGCUGCCCCCGGCUUUGCCGUCUGUCCUCCGAGGUGAGGGCGUUGGGAGCUCCGUGAGGCCCUUUCUUCUUACGAGACUCAGGUUCCGCUGACUUAGAUCGUGUUCGCAAAUCUCUGCGCCUGGGCGUGAGGCCAGAUUCCUGCGCCCCACUCCUCUGGUCCCCGGAGAAGUAACAAGAACGCCGAGGACAGACCCGAUGUUUAUUUGUAGUCUCACAAUCAGACCCAGAGAGAGAGAGAGAGAGGCAGAGACACAGAGGAAGAAGCAGGCUCCAUGCUUGAGCCCGACGCGGGAUUCGAUUCCAGGACCCCGGGGUCACGCCCUGGGCUGAAGGCAGAUGCUCAACCGCUGAGCCACCCGGGCUGCCCAAAGUGGAUUUUAUUCACCUAGAGGCUUUUGAGAGUUUGUGAUCCCUUCGACCGAAGGGCCCCAGCCUUCAACGAUUUUCAGAUAUAUCUGAACUUCUGCUUAUGCAGAAUUGCCCGCCCCCUGGAUCCAACUAGAAAACUGGGCAUGACAUUUGAAGUGACUGUUUUCAGACGUGGGACAACAUGCAAUAGAGAAUUGUGAUUCCUGAGAGGAGAGAACAAGUAAGGGAAGUCCUACAAUGGCUCCAGCCUACUGCCUGGAGGGCAGAACAGGAAGGGAAUUUAAAGAAAGACCAACAGUUUCACUGGAGACAGAGAAGGAACUGAGGGAAGCCAAUGAGAAGACAUCGGAGAGGGGGAAGUGGCACAGAGAAAGAUCUGUCUACCCAGGUGUAUCUUUCCCCUUGUCCUUUGGCUGAGUAUUGAUCUGUGCAAUGGAAGACUGAAACUCCAUGAGAGCUGGCACCAAAAAGCAGUAGGCCAAACAGUUUCUUUUCUUUUUUUUUUUUUUUAAGAUUUUAAAAAUUUAUUCAUGAAAGACACAGAGAGAGGUAGAGACAGGAGAAGCGGGCUCCAUGCAAGGAGCCCAAUAAGGGAUUGGAUCCCUGGACUCCGGGAUCACGCCCUGAGCCCAAGGCAGAUGCUCAACUGCUGGGCCACCCACUCUUCCCAAGCCAAGCAAUUUCUGAUGCUUACACAGGACUAGGAAUAGUUUGUGUUCCCAUCAGCCAGAGUACAGAGACUUUGUAAUACACAUAUUGUUUCUACCAAUCAAAAUAAA